CCGUUUCCUCCACGCCUCCGUCCCGCCCUCCUACUGCUUUUACUUUCUACGCAUUUCUAUUUCCUCUUUUAUUUAUUUAUUUGUGAUAAACUUAAAUGACCCGGCGAUGGAGGCGGUACUCUAGGAGAAGGCUGAGGAUGACGAAGCGGCGGCCUGGGGCCAAUUGUCGAGAGGCCUGCGGGUUUCAGUUUUAACCAUCACACUGUGGUCUGCUUGUCUGACUCCCUUGAUACAAUGUGCUGUCCAUUUUUCGGGGCCCGAGAGUGGCAGCAGCAGAGGCCAAGGAAGGUAUGGCAAGGGUGUCAUCUACUGAACUGUUCAGACGCAACUGAAUUGAAAAGGAGAUGAACAAAAGAGCACGAUACCUCAACAAAAAAAGUAAAAUGGAUUUUAUCGUACUUAGAAAAUCAACAAUUGCAGUCUGGAUUCAAACAUCACUGUUUGAUGCACCCAACUUGAGUCAAAAGAUGCUUCAACUCCCACUAUGCUGGAGAUUACAGACAUACCACAAGAUGAUGACUCACACAUCAGAAACAUAACAGAGACCUGGAGCCUGAAAGCACUCGUUCAAAGUCUUCUAGCAACAGAAAUACCUUACAUGCACAGCUCAGGUAUUCAUUUUUUUGAAGUCUUUUAUUUCUUUAUAAC
This 648-nucleotide long non-coding RNA is filed under the name Saimiri boliviensis boliviensis (Bolivian squirrel monkey). RNAcentral describes it as "lncRNA (ENSSBOG00000036753.1)". Lineage: Eukaryota; Metazoa; Chordata; Mammalia; Primates; Cebidae. The record is from RNAcentral.